This 310-nucleotide unclassified non-coding RNA is filed under the name plant metagenome. RNAcentral describes it as "partial contains 5.8S ribosomal RNA, internal transcribed spacer 2, and large subunit ribosomal RNA". The stretch from base 1 to 105 matches the Rfam family "5.8S ribosomal RNA", at positions 50 to 154 of the family's 154-position model. The record is from RNAcentral.
GAAAUGCGAUAAGUAGUGUGAAUUGCAGAAUUCAGUGAAUCAUCGAAUCUUUGAACGCACAUUGCGCCCCAUGGUAUUCCAUGGGGCAUGCCUGUUCGAGCGUCAUUUGUUCCCUCAAGCUCUGCUUGGUGUUGGGUGUUUGUCCCCGUCUCCGCGCGUGGACUCGCCCCAAAGUGAUUGGCAGCCGGCGUACUGGUCCCGGAGCGCAGCACAUGUCGCGCAAACGAGUGCCUUGGUACGGCGGCGUCCAUAAGCCCCUCUCUCACGCUCUUGACCUCGGAUCAGGUAGGGAUACCCGCUGAACUUAAGC